UCAAUUAGCAAAAUAGGGAAAGAAAUGGUCUUGAUUGAAGAAAAAUAAAUAAUUGUCAGAAAAUUGUCCAUUUACAAGGAAAUCAUAUUUUUCUUUUUAGGAAUAAACUGAAUGCAGCAAUCAAUAUAUUAUUUUUAAUUAUUGCUUGUAAUUAUUGUCGUAAUGUUGAUUCAAAUUAUUACCAAAUAUAACAACAUUUCAAAAAUAUUCUAAAGUGAUCUGUCAUGCAUUAAUAUUAAUUGCUUAUGGGCAUUUUUCCAAGGAACUCAAAUCCAAUUCAUCACGUGCAGCACCUCUCCCAUUUUAUUCACAUGCACCCCCCUUUUCUUUUUUUCCUUCUUCCUUAUUUCCUUUUAUUUUUGUUUUUCUUUUUCGUUUUUUUCUUCCCUUUUUUUAUUUUUCUUUUCCCUUUUUUUUCCUUUUUGUUUGCAAUUAUUUUUCUGUUUUUCUUUUUUUCCUUUUCUUUAAAAGACUAAACAAAAUAGUAAAAUAAAAUCAAAAAUAAUAAAAUAAGAUAAAAGUAAAAAAAAACAAAUUCUAUUAUUUAGCCACCCGGACGAAAUUGGGUGUUGACAAUCACAAAACAAUAUAAACUCCCCUUGAAAUAUAGAUGUGUGAUGAAACAAUGUGUAAAAUUGUGAUACUCCCC
Molecule: long non-coding RNA, 649 nt
Filed under: Vigna radiata
Lineage: Eukaryota; Viridiplantae; Streptophyta; Magnoliopsida; Fabales; Fabaceae
Description: long non-coding RNA (VRAD_LNC012759)
Source: RNAcentral